GUCAAGUCAUCAUGGCCCUUAUGUCCAGGGCUACACACGUGCUACAAUGGCUGGUACAACGUGACGCGAGUCUGCGAAGAUUGAGCGAAACAUGGAAAGCCGGCCGUAGUUCGGAUUGAAGUCUGAAACCCGACUUCAUGAAGUUGGAAUCGCUAGUAAUCGCGCAUCAGCAUGGCGCGGUGAAUACGUUCCCGGGCCUU
RNAcentral lists this ribosomal RNA (200 nucleotides) under uncultured prokaryote. RNAcentral's name for it is "partial 16S ribosomal RNA". It matches the Rfam family "Bacterial small subunit ribosomal RNA", at positions 1184 to 1382 of the family's 1533-position model. The record is from RNAcentral.